This is a long non-coding RNA of Dermacentor andersoni, 271 nucleotides long. RefSeq lists it as uncharacterized. The record is from RefSeq and is a predicted model, not a curated record. Lineage: Eukaryota; Metazoa; Arthropoda; Arachnida; Ixodida; Ixodidae.
UUUGUGACCGAUCGCGACGACCGCCCGUUUUUCACGAACCGCAUGCAUGCGGUGCGGCGUGCGGCGAUGGGCGGUUUGAGCGUAAAUCGGCCCUUACAGCACUGAACAUCCCACGUCUUGGUUUGACUUCCUGGUACAGGAUACUUGCACUUAACAUGGAGUGAUGAAGCAGAGCAGUGUACUCUUAUUAAAUGCGCAGAUUUUAGCAGUAUAACAGCAAUUCAUUAAAAAAAAUCAAAUGUGUGCUGAAAAUAAAGUGUUCCUACCCACA